This 520-nucleotide ribosomal RNA is filed under the name uncultured bacterium. Its description in RNAcentral is "bacterial SSU rRNA". It matches the Rfam family "Bacterial small subunit ribosomal RNA", at positions 120 to 674 of the family's 1533-position model. The record is from RNAcentral.
GGGAAUCUACCUUUUGCUACGGGAUAGCUCCGGGAAACUGGAAUUAAUACCGUAUGUGCCCUUCGGGGGAAAGAUUUAUCGGCAAAGGAUGAGCCCGCGUUGGAUUAGCUAGUUGGUGGGGUAAAGGCCUACCAAGGCGACGAUCCAUAGCUGGUCUGAGAGGAUGAUCAGCCACAUUGGGACUGAGACACGGCCCAAACUCCUACGGGAGGCAGCAGUGGGGAAUAUUGGACAAUGGGCGCAAGCCUGAUCCAGCCAUGCCGCGUGAGUGAUGAAGGUCUUAGGAUUGUAAAGCUCUUUCACCGGGGACGAUAAUGACGGUACCCGGAGAAGAAGCCCCGGCUAACUUCGUGCCAGCAGCCGCGGUAAUACGAAGGGGGCUAGCGUUGUUCGGAAUUACUGGGCGUAAAGCGCACGUAGGCGGAUAGUUAAGUCAGGGGUGAAAUCCCGGGGCUCAACCCCGGAACUGCCUUUGAUACUGGGUAUCUUGAGUGUGGUAGAGGUGAGUGGAAUUGCGAGU